This 369-nucleotide transfer-messenger RNA is filed under the name Sphingobacteriaceae. RNAcentral describes it as "SSFR01 sp008015505 Standard tmRNA". It matches the Rfam family "transfer-messenger RNA". From Rfam's summary of the family: Bacterial tmRNA, also known as 10Sa RNA or SsrA, is named for its dual tRNA and mRNA-like properties. Its role is to liberate the mRNA from a stalled ribosome. To accomplish this part of the tmRNA is used as a reading frame that ends in a translation stop signal. RNAcentral also lists the same sequence under 2 other names. The record is from RNAcentral. Lineage: Bacteria; Pseudomonadati; Bacteroidota; Sphingobacteriia; Sphingobacteriales.
GGGGUCGACCGGAAUUGACAGGGUAGUGAUGAGUAUGUAAGCAUACAGCGCAUUGUGAGUCUAGCGCUUUAAUCUGAACUUUCAAACAAUAAUCGGCGAAAAUAACUACGCCUUAGCUGCCUAAUUUAGAAUUAGAUAAGCUUUUGUCUCGCUAGGUUCUGCUUUGUUACUUAGCAACUGGGACAUCGAACAACAAAGCUGGCUUGGGUUUAAUGGUGUAAUAAUUUAAGCAAGAUAAGACACCUAAGAAAGGCGGUACAGGUGCGUUGUUAACUUUCCCCUUUCCGACAACCGAAUAGCAACUAAGUAUGUAGAAAGCAUAGUUUAUCCUAUGUUUGGACGAGGGUUCGAAUCCCUCCGACUCCACAA